RNAcentral lists this long non-coding RNA (1496 nucleotides) under Canis lupus familiaris (dog). Its description in RNAcentral is "lncRNA (ENSCAFG00845015751.1)". The record is from RNAcentral. Lineage: Eukaryota; Metazoa; Chordata; Mammalia; Carnivora; Canidae.
GACGUUGACACGAACCUUUAUUAUAAAGCACGUGGGGCCCACCUGAUUGGGCCACCCCCCUACCAGCAAGGGUGGGUGUGAAAAGGCCCUGAGCCAAGCAUGCACCCUCAAAGCCCAUGGUCCUCUCAAGGACACGCCCCUGGAUCAGCCUCACCUGUGGGCACCCUUAUCUGGGGACCAAGAGUGCCCGACCCCGGCCCUGGGCUCCCCGCAGCAAUCCUGGCGUGUGGGCUGGGGGACCCCGCAGGGUGUGCUCUUCCCCUCAGCUCGUGCGGACAUUGCACCUGCCGCCCAAGGGACGUCUGGGUCGCUUCCCAGGCAUGCAGCCCCCCUGGGCAAGGCCAUGCGUCUCAGACUGGCUCCCUCCUGGUUGCAGCGUGGUCUCAUCCCCCUGAAACAUGCAGGUCAAGAGGGGUUUAGCAGAAGCCUGGACGCCCACCAGGCCUCCAUUCCCAGGCCCCUGCCAAGCCCACUGGAGGCCCUAACCACGACCCUGACCAAGAGCAGAUCUUUGCUGCUUUGAAUAUUCAGCCAUUCCAUGGAGAUACACUCGGGGGCCCCAGAUGCCCCUGCCUAGCGCCCUUGGGGGCCUGGGAGCUGCUCUCCAGUGGGCAGGCCCGGCGGGGCGGAGGCCAGGCGCCCCAGCCCUAGGGCCCUGAGCUGCCAUCAGGUAGUAGGAGAUGUGAGACUGCCUGAAGCCCUGAGCCAGCCACAGACGCCUGGAGCUCCUCUAGGGGUGCAGGCUCCACACAGCUGUUGAGUGGACGGGCUCCGGCUGGGGGCUGCUGCCCUGGCCUGGCUACCCAAGCCUUGCUUCCCCCGCUCCCAAAUUCUUCACACCCUCCCUCAGCUUUGAUUUGAGCCAUAUGUAUGGUGUGCGCGCGCGCGCGCGCACACACACACACACACACACUCUCUCACUUUUUGCCUAGGGACGGUUCCCAGAACAGUUUGCUCUCAGACUAGUGGGGAAGUUGCUCUGGGGGCUCCCUCCAGCUGCCUCGCCGGUGCGUGGCCGGCUACGCCUCUGCAGUCUCGGGCUGGCUGGGGGGUGCGGGGCAGGAGGGGUGGAGAGCAGGCAGGGCCCCUGCCUUUCACAAGGGCUCCGGGCAGCACCUCUCCAGAGGCCACGGCUCUCCACAGGUGCCCCUGGGUCGCAGAGCAGCAGCAGGACUCUGAAACCCCCGCUGGGCAGCAACACAUGGACACCUCCCUCCUCCUCUCAACCUGAGCCACCCAAAGCCCAACUGCCGGAGGCUCUGGGAACAGCUCCUGAGCCACACGCUCGGCAGUGCCAGCAGAGGUGGGGCAGCGGUGGAGGGGAACUAAGGCACUGGAGGUCGUCCCGGUGUGGCUGGCAGGACCCCAGGCCCGCUCCGGGGAGACGGCACGGCUCUGGGCCCUGGGCUGCACCAAGUGCGCUGUGGCCGGCCCAGGGAGCUCACUCCUUCAUUGGUCAAGUCACCAGGGCCCAAGGGUACAAGGUUGCUAACCCC